This 256-nucleotide ribosomal RNA is filed under the name uncultured Streptococcus sp. Its description in RNAcentral is "partial 16S ribosomal RNA". It matches the Rfam family "Bacterial small subunit ribosomal RNA", at positions 520 to 776 of the family's 1533-position model. The record is from RNAcentral. Lineage: Bacteria; Bacillati; Bacillota; Bacilli; Lactobacillales; Streptococcaceae.
GUAAUACGUAGGUCCCGAGCGUUGUCCGGAUUUAUUGAGUGUAAAGGGAGCGCAGACGGUUAGAUAGGUCUGAAUUUAAAGGCUGUGGCUUAACCAUAGUAUGCUUUGGAAACUGUUUAACUUGAGUGCAGAAGGGGAGAGUGGAAUUCCAUGUGUAGCGGUGAAAUGCGUAGAUAUAUGGAGGAACACCGGUGGCGAAAGCGGCUCUCUGGUCUGUAACUGACGCUGAGGCUCGAAAGCGUGGGGGGCAAACAGG